AUGCACCCUUAUCUGGGAAGAGGAUCUUUACUAAGGUCAUCAAAUGAAGUCCUCAGGAGGGUGCUCGCCAAGAGAGAUGUGGCUUUCUUCUUAUGUCAAAUGCAGUGGAGCUUUCCCUUCCCCUGCUGGCUGCCAACAUGCAAGAGUUCUGUUACUCAACUGGCGCAAAGUUCAGGGCUGCUACGUUCUGUGUCAAACCUGGAAAACGAUACUUCUCACUUACGUGUUUUCUUCAUGAAGCCUGUCAGCACUCUGGAGUGCUGGCCCUGGAGAAAUGCUCCCGAGCUUUCCUCUAGUGCGCUGAAGCCAGGACACCCUGCCGCACCCCAGCCACGGCGCUCCCCAAUCAGUGCUCAGCUGCCGCGAGCCCUCAUGGAGCUGUCUUGACGACUGGGGCUGAGAAGGGCAAGGUAUUGGAUUCAGCCUCUUCGUGUGCCAGUGGAGGUGGCUCUGUCAUGUUUGGAGUAAUCACCCACAAAUCUAUAAAGGAAAUUCGCUUUCAUCAAACGUCAUUGUAAAGUAUACCAAAUGAGAUAGCAUGCACACAUAAUGCACCAAAUAUUCUUAUAAUUCUUUGUAAUUUUCUCUGUUAUGCAAAUCCAGCUUCAUGGAAGUGAAUCAAAAAAGAGCAACA
RNAcentral lists this long non-coding RNA (634 nucleotides) under Fukomys damarensis (Damara mole-rat). RNAcentral describes it as "lncRNA (ENSFDAG00000029722.1)". Lineage: Eukaryota; Metazoa; Chordata; Mammalia; Rodentia; Bathyergidae. The record is from RNAcentral.